RNAcentral lists this ribosomal RNA (336 nucleotides) under Triticum aestivum (bread wheat). Its description in RNAcentral is "partial small subunit ribosomal RNA". Lineage: Eukaryota; Viridiplantae; Streptophyta; Magnoliopsida; Poales; Poaceae. The record is from RNAcentral.
AUGGGGGUAGUGCUACAACCAGCGACGUUGGAAGCUACAACCGGCUUUGGCGAAAGCUGCAUCCAAAGAGUAGAAAGCUACAACCAGUGCACCGGCGGAAGCUGGAACCAGAGACAAGAAAAGCUACAACCAUCAUCCGGAUUUGCUACAACGGAUGCGGCGACAGCACCAACCACCGGAGCUGCACUCGCGAGCAAUGACUCCACAGUGGCGACCCCUUUUGCUGGAACCAUCACCAGCUUUCGCUACUACAGGCAGGAAAUUUGCUACAUCUAUCAUAAAGGGAGCUGCAUGGUGCUCGACCGACAGAUCUUUUUUGCUGAAACCGACUACUAG